GAGCCUGUCCUUGUGUUACUAAAUACUGCUCAGAACGUGCUUGUUAAUGACAUGUGGCAUUUCAUCACAUGGAUUUGCCUUUAUCUGUAGUUUUUCUUUAUUACCAGUGAUGCGGUGAACAUGCAUGUGCAUAAAUCUGCAUGCUUGUCUUUAUCUUCCCAUAAGCUGAAUUCUAACCACUGGAGCUACGGGGUCAAAUGUUUUGGCCACUUGUGGCUAUUGCUGGGGCCUGAUUUCUCUUCUGAAGAAGGGCAGAAUUUACAGGCUCUGAAGUUCCUAAAGGCUUGAGCAGAGAAGUGUCCCGGAAGCCAUAUUCAAGCCACGCCCUGGUUUGUGGAUCCAGAGACUCGAGGCAGGGCCUCUGGUUACUGAGCACCUUGUUACCUGGCGCUCUCCCCGUGUGUCACAUCUGCAGGGCGGUGGUGGGACAGGAGAGGAGCAGGUGCUGCUACCUCGCUUCCUGGACCUCACCAGAAGAACCACAAUUGACAGCCAUUCCUUCCUCUAACACGACAUUGCAGAUGCUCCUGCAAGCUGGGUGCUGGCUGCGUGAGAGAUGAGAUGAGCAUGCAGCCUGUGACCCCGGAAUUCACAGAGACCCGGGAGACAGCCGGCAGGAGACAGCUGCUUGAGGGUGCUAAGCACUGUGAUGGGCCGGGCCCCUGUGGCCCUGGGACCAGGGAGGGCGUACUGCAGCGGCACAGGUUGAGCAGAAAGCGAUUCUGGGAUAGCAGGUGUCUCCCUGCUCACGGAAGAGGAAGUGCCUGGCUCUGUCGCUCAAGGUGCAGACGAGUCUUGUCAGCUGCCUUCUCCACUUCAGACGCAUGGUGCAGUCUGUCCAGUGCACGGGGACACGCAGAUAAUUAUAAAGAAGAACGUGUCUCCUCCACUGUUGAGUGACAUCUAGGUGGGAGCCUGCAGGACCUUUCUGGGCUUUCCGUGCAGAUGUCGGUCUGUGGGAAGAAGCCCUGGUCCCUGCCUGGCGCGGGUCCUGCUGCCCCUGAGGCCUCUCUGCAUACCUCGGGGACCUCACGGCCUUUGGAGACCGUGGCCGCCUGGCUGUUUCACUCCGAAGCCACGAGCUGAGGCUGGGUGGGUAGAGUGGGUUCUGUGGACCAUCGAGGGGGAUAACCUGGUACCGGGGUCUGGCGCUGUCCUGAGUUCUUGGGGCCUGAGGAUGGGAGGCUGCAGCCUGCCCACACCUCCUCUCCCUGCCCCAUCCCUGCACUGUGCUGGGUGGAGGCUUCCUGAGCUCAGUGAGUGGUGACCUUGCUUCCAGCCUCUGAAGGGCAUGGAGUAGAAGUGAUGUGUCUCUGCAGUGGGAUGUGUGGGAUCUUAAUAUCCCAGGCAGGCUGGAGGGGCCGGGGCCGCCUUCAGCCAGUGCUCGGAGGUGGGCCAGUGCCGAACACUGGCCACUGCCCGGCCAUGCAGGCAUCGCCUUCUGCAGCACCCCUACCCCACUGUAGGGUUCCCUGCUUGCAGAGCAAACGAAGACUGAAGCUCCGAGGAAGGGAAGGGACUCGCCCAAGGCCACACAGCAGGCUGGCAAAGCUGGGGUCCGUCCUAGAGUCCAUGUUAUCUGUGCUGUGCCUGUGCUCCCCGGCCUGUCUCAGACACUGGAGGCCAAGGCCACUGUGCCCCACUGGGAGUACAGGAGCUCUGCUGACUCAGAUUCUGAUGACUCAGGAGACAGGGCAUCUGUCGCCAGGACGGCGAGGCCCAGGACUGACUGGGCCUGCCCACAGCCACGCAGCUAAAAUGUGAAGCAGGAAUUCCCACUGGUCUGGAGGGUCACAGAUUCUGCCCUCUGUUCCCAGGCAGACUCCAGGUGCUGCCUGGCUCCUUCCCCUGGCAGCGGAUGCCAGAGCCAGGGCGCUGCCGCAGGAGCUCUGGAGCGGGGCCUGGCAAGCUGUGGGCAUGGGGUCCAAGUCCCUCUGUGCCCCAGAUUGGCCACACCUGCCAAGUCCCUUGCCUUCCUAGGCCCUGCCCCCUCUUGGCCUCCUGGGGCCCCUUCCUGGCCCACAGUGGGAUGCAUGCCUAGUUGGCUGUGCUUGCUCCAGGGUGGGAGGGGCUUUUCUGUGGCCAGGCCGUGGUUUCCCUUUGGAGGUGGCCGUGGGUGACCUUGGACUCGCACCUCAGCCUGUGAGACUUAGGCUCUGCCUUACUCUGGCUCCUGAGUAGACACCAGUGUUUUCCGAGGCUGUGCUCUGCGUGCAUGCACGUGCAUGUGUGUGUGCACGCUUGUGCAUGCGGACUGUGAAUCCUGGAGGCUCAGACGGCACAGAGCACACCUGUUUCUGUAGCCGAUCUCAUCCUGCUUUGGAGAAACCAGUGGUGGGAAGGAUAUUUUAUUGAAUAAAAAUUUCUGGUUAAACAGAGCUCAUUUUGUCCAGAUUUUUAAGAAUCAAUGAAAGUAGAG
Molecule: long non-coding RNA, 2419 nt
Organism: Heterocephalus glaber (naked mole-rat)
Lineage: Eukaryota; Metazoa; Chordata; Mammalia; Rodentia; Bathyergidae
Source: Ensembl